RNAcentral lists this ribosomal RNA (254 nucleotides) under uncultured bacterium. Its description in RNAcentral is "partial 16S ribosomal RNA". It matches the Rfam family "Bacterial small subunit ribosomal RNA", at positions 524 to 776 of the family's 1533-position model. The record is from RNAcentral.
UACGUAGGGUGCGAGCGUUGUCCGGAAUUAUUGGGCGUAAAGAGCUCGUAGGCGGCUUGUCGCGUCGGAUGUGAAAGCCCGGGGCUUAACUCCGGGUCUGCAUUCGAUACGGGCAGGCUAGAGUUCGGUAGGGGAGAUCGGAAUUCCUGGUGUAGCGGUGAAAAUGCGCAGAUAUCAGGAGGAACACCGGUGGCGAAGGCGGAUCUCUGGGCCGAUACUGACGCUGAGGAGCGAAAGCGUGGGGAGCGAACAGG